This 253-nucleotide ribosomal RNA is filed under the name uncultured bacterium. Its description in RNAcentral is "partial 16S ribosomal RNA". It matches the Rfam family "Bacterial small subunit ribosomal RNA", at positions 524 to 776 of the family's 1533-position model. The record is from RNAcentral.
UACGUAGGGGGCAAGCGUUGUCCGGAAUCAUUGGGCGUAAAGAGCGUGUAGGCGGCCAGGCAGGUCCGUUGUGAAAACUGGAGGCUUAACCUUCAGACGUCGACGGAAACCGCGCGGCUAGAGUCCGGAAGAGGAGAGUGGAAUUCCUGGUGUAGCGGUGAAAUGCGCAGAUAUCAGGAAGAACACCAAUGGCGAAGGCAGCUCUCUGGGACGGUACUGACGCUGAGACGCGAAAGCGUGGGGAGCGAACAGG